This 383-nucleotide unclassified non-coding RNA is filed under the name uncultured bacterium. RNAcentral's name for it is "contains 16S-23S intergenic spacer region". The record is from RNAcentral.
UCCGGUUUGUCACCGGCAGUCUCCUAUGAGUCCCCGACAUUACUCGCUGGCAACAUAGGACAGGGGUUGCGCUCGUCGCGGGACUUAACCCAACAUCUCACGGCACGAGCUGACGACAGCCAUGCAGCACCUGUGUCCGCGUUCCCCUUGCGGGGCACACGCUGGUUUCCCACCGCUUCGCGGCAUGUCAAACCCAGGUAAGGUUCUUCGCGUAGCAUCGAAUUGAACCACAUGCUCCACCGCUUGUGCGGGCCCCCGUCAAUUCCUUUGAGUUUCAGCCUUGCGGCCGUACUCCCCAGGCGGGGCACUUAAUGCGUUAGCGCCGGCACGGGGGGAGUCGACACCCCCCACACCUAGUGCCCAUCGUUUACGGCGUGGACUAC